This is a long non-coding RNA of Carassius carassius (crucian carp), 728 nucleotides long. RefSeq lists it as uncharacterized. The record is from RefSeq and is a predicted model, not a curated record. The transcript has 3 exons. NCBI's taxonomy places the organism in Eukaryota, Metazoa, Chordata, Actinopteri, Cypriniformes, Cyprinidae.
UGCGUGUCAGCUGUGCAGCUGGUUGUUUUGAUUUUAGUAUUAAGUGAUGUUACAUUGUUUCUUUAUUUGUAUUUGUUUAGUGUGACACUCGGCCAUUGAGGCUGUGCGCGUUUCCGCGGUGACACUCACAUUGUGUGUGGCGUGCCUUCGGGGCUUCCACCGGUGUGGCAUCUUCUAAUAGCCGCGUCGGAUUACCAGCUGUUUAUUGACUCACUAACGGACCCAUCGUAUGAUUUCUGUGUGCAUGUGAUUUACGUGUGUGUGCGUGCCGAUAUUAAAUCAGGGAAAUCUCUUUGCCCGCUUUAAAGCAAGGUUGAGCAGCUACAUUAACAACUUGCUAUCAGAACCCCUUGCUUUUUGAGCCACGUCUGCUGCUUUGGAGGAAAUAGAACUGAUUGCUGUGAUUCCAUCCCGUUUGCUGUUCAGGCGAGCUGUUUCAGGCUCGAGUGGGCCUGAAUGUGUUUUUUUUGAUUUCAUGAUUUUGUUUAUCUCAUUUCUUUUUUUUGUGUGUAUUCCACAGGAGCUGAGUUUUCCUGGAAGCAGGCUGGUGGUGGUAGCUGCACGGCCUUCACCUUAACUGGGGUUUAUUAGUGUUGUCAUCUCUGAUCACAAUUUGUAGUGGAGUGAUUUUUUUUUUAAAUCGUGUUUUCCUUGCCGUGUGCAGCUAUAGCUAGCCUGCUUGUCGGGUGCCUCAGCCCCUGUAGUGAUUUACUUUUUGUUUUUUUUUG